This 491-nucleotide ribosomal RNA is filed under the name uncultured bacterium. Its description in RNAcentral is "partial 16S ribosomal RNA". It matches the Rfam family "Bacterial small subunit ribosomal RNA", at positions 28 to 507 of the family's 1533-position model. The record is from RNAcentral.
GAUGAACGCUGUCUACAGGCUUAACACAUGCAAGUCGAGGGGAAACGACGGGGAAGCUUGCUUCCCCGGGCGUCGACCGGCGCACGGGUGAGUAACGCGUAUCCAACCUGCCUCUGACUGAGGGAUAACCCGUCGAAAGUCGGCCUAAUACCUCAUGGCAUCGUCUGCGGGCAUCCAAAGACGAUUAAAGAUUUCAUCGGUCAGGGAUGGGGAUGCGUCUGAUUAGCUUGUUGGCGGGGUAACGGCCCACCAAGGCUACGAUCAGUAGGGGUUCUGAGAGGAAGGUCCCCCAGAUUGGAGCUGAGACACAGUCCAAACUCGUACGGGAGGCAGCAGUGAGGAAUAUUGGUCAAUGGGCGGGAGCCUGAACCAGCCAAGUAGCGUGCAGGAUGACGGCCCUAUGGGUUGUAAACUGCUUUUAUGCGGGGAUAAAGUGAGGGACGUGUCCUUCAUUGCAGGUACCGCAUGAAUAAGGACCGGCUAAUUCCGUG